This is a long non-coding RNA of Cucumis melo (muskmelon), 1407 nucleotides long. RefSeq lists it as uncharacterized. NCBI's taxonomy places the organism in Eukaryota, Viridiplantae, Streptophyta, Magnoliopsida, Cucurbitales, Cucurbitaceae. The record is from RefSeq and is a predicted model, not a curated record. The transcript has 5 exons.
GCAGUGAUAAAAGUUAAUAUAUAUUAUUUGAUUCUUUUUCUAUUUACUUAACUUUGAAAAUUCAAUUAUUACUUCAUUGAAUAUAUAAUGUCCAUCUCUCUUUGUUUACUUGUUUAUCAUUUUCAUUUUUAAUUAUUUUCAUAUAUCAAUAAAUUACGCGUUGGGUUGAGCUCGACUAACUAUAGGUUAUCUAACCCUAAAGAUUAUGGAUACAUUUCGAUUAACUUUUUAAGUACUCAAAACACUACAUUUUUUUUUUACCUAGAAGUCAAUCCAAGCUGGUUAAUUAGGAGAAGCACUUAGGAAGCAUAUAGUAACUAAUGUAGCUACGAGAGGAUGGUGUUUGUGCUAUAGACUACACUUAGAUACGUUACAUUCUUCGAGAUCGGGAUAUGUGAUGUGUCUUUGUUGUUAAUGAAAAACAAUGAAUGACAUUAUUUCGUUUUCUAUUUUGAGUUGAAUAAAUACGAAGGAAGAGAUUAAACAUUCAACUUUAUCUAAUAAGUAACAAAUUGUUGUGAAUUUUUUUAUUUAAAACAUAAAUGAAUGUGGUAAAGCAAUUUCGAUAAUGAGUAAAGCACUUGAAUCUUAUCUUAGUAAAGCCAAGGAGGAUGGGAUUAUUGCUGGAGUUAUAGGACUUGGAGGCAGUGGAGGGACGUCUCUGAUAUCCUUUGCGUUGAGACGUUGAAAGAUUCUUGUGAUUCCAAUGGAAAACAACAGUGGGUUUAACAAUGUUUGGGGUUACGACUCCCUGUGUCAAUGCUGUUAAAGAAAUAUUGCUUAAAGAAGGAUACGAAAUCCUUGUUUUUCAUGCUACUGGGGUUGGGGGGAAGGCAAUGGAAUCUCUGGUCAAAGAGGGAUUUAUACAGGGAGUCUUGGACAUCACCACCAUAGAGGUCGCAGACUACUUAAUUGGAGGUGUCAUGGCUUGUGGCAGUACUCGCUUUGAUGCCAUUAUAGAGAAGAGGAUCCCAUUAGUUCUAAGUGUAGGAGCAGUGGAUAUGGUGUCAAGGUCAAAGAGACUUCAAAGUUAGGACCUCGCCCAGAGAAGCCUAUUGAGAUAUAUGAGUUUGAGAGUUGUCCAUUUUGUCGGAAGGGAGUUAUCACUAAACAAAUGACUGCAAUAGAAGAAAUGGUUGCAAGUGAGUACAAUUAGCCAGACCCUCAUCUUUGUGACAAGAUCUUGAAGUUGGUCAUUUGUGAAGCAUUCUACUUUGCUAUUAGUUGCAGUUUUAGUUAUUGCUCUCUCAAUAUAUUCUUUUUCUUUCUUUCUUUCUUUUUUUCCAAAGAAUGAUCAGUGUAAUAAUUAAGCUUCAUAAUUUCUGUGUUUGGAUCCAAGUUGUAUAUAAAUGUCACAUUAUUAAGAUUUCAUUUUGUAUAUGUACAAGUAAAAGAUUUCAUUUUUAA